GGGAAUGGACGCUGGCGGCAGGCCUAACCAUGCAAGUCGAGCGGUACACAGAGAGCUUGCUCUCGGGUGACGAGCGGCGGACGGGUGAGUAAUGUCUGGGAAACUGCCUGAUGGAGGGGGAUAACUACUGGAAACGGUAGCUAAUACCGCAUAACGUCGCAAGACCAAAGUGGGGGACCUUCGGGCCUCAUGCCAUCAGAUGUGCCCAGAUGGGAUUAGCUAGUAGGUGGGGUAAUGGCUCACCUAGGCGACGAUCCCUAGCUGGUCUGAGAGGAUGACCAGCCACACUGGAACUGAGACACGGUCCAGACUCCUACGGGAGGCAGCAGUGGGGAAUAUUGCACAAUGGGCGCAAGCCUGAUGCAGCCAUGCCGCGUGUAUGAAGAAGGCCUUCGGGUUGUAAAGUACUUUCAGCGAGGAGGAAGGCAUUAAGGUUAAUAACCUUGGUGAUUGACGUUACUCGCAGAAGAAGCACCGGCUAACUCCGUGCCAGCAGCCGCGGUAAUACGGAGGGUGCAAGCGUUAAUCGGAAUUACUGGGCGUAAAGCGCACGCAGGCGGUCUGUCAAGUCGGAUGUGAAAUCCCCGGGCUCAACCUGGGAACUGCAUUCGAAACUGGCAGGCUAGAGUCUUGUAGAGGGGGGUAGAAUUCCAGGUGUAGCGGUGAAAUGCGUAGAGAUCUGGAGGAAUACCGGUGGCGAAGGCGGCCCCCUGGACAAAGACUGACGCUCAGGUGCGAAAGCGUGGGGAGCAAACAGGAUUAGAUACCCUGGUAGUCCACGCCGUAAACGAUGUCGACUUGGAGGUUGUGCCCUUGAGGCGUGGCUUCCGGAGCUAACGCGUUAAGUCGACCGCCUGGGGAGUACGGCCGCAAGGUUAAAACUCAAAUGAAUUGACGGGGGCCCGCACAAGCGGUGGAGCAUGUGGUUUAAUUCGAUGCAACGCGAAGAACCUUACCUACUCUUGACAUCCAGAGAACUUAGCAGAGAUGCUUUGGUGCCUUCGGGAACUCUGAGACAGGUGCUGCAUGGCUGUCGUCAGCUCGUGUUGUGAAAUGUUGGGUUAAGUCCCGCAACGAGCGCAACCCUUAUCCUUUGUUGCCAGCGGUCCGGCCGGGAACUCAAAGGAGACUGCCAGUGAUAAACUGGAGGAAGGUGGGGAUGACGUCAAGUCAUCAUGGCCCUUACGAGUAGGGCUACACACGUGCUACAAUGGCAUAUACAAAGAGAAGCGACCUCGCGAGAGCAAGCGGACCUCAUAAAGUAUGUCGUAGUCCGGAUUGGAGUCUGCAACUCGACUCCAUGAAGUCGGAAUCGCUAGUAAUCGUAGAUCAGAAUGCUACGGUGAAUACGUUCCCGGGCCUUGUACACACCGCCCGUCACACCAUGGGAGUGGGUUGCAAAAGAAGUAGGUAGCUUAACCUUCGGGAGGGCGCUUACCACUUUGUGAUUCAUGACUGGGGUGAAGUCGUAACAAGGUAACCGUAGGGAAAGCCCUGCCGUCC
Molecule: ribosomal RNA, 1503 nt
Filed under: Enterobacter sp. ChroAq 66
Lineage: Bacteria; Pseudomonadati; Pseudomonadota; Gammaproteobacteria; Enterobacterales; Enterobacteriaceae
Description: bacterial SSU rRNA
Rfam family: Bacterial small subunit ribosomal RNA
Source: RNAcentral